This 497-nucleotide ribosomal RNA is filed under the name uncultured bacterium. RNAcentral describes it as "partial 16S ribosomal RNA". It matches the Rfam family "Bacterial small subunit ribosomal RNA", at positions 29 to 507 of the family's 1533-position model. The record is from RNAcentral.
AAUGAACGCUGGCGGCGUGCCUAAUACAUGCAAGUCGAGCGAACGGACGAGAAGCUUGCUUCUCUGAUGUUAGCGGCGGACGGGUGAGUAACACGUGGAUAACCUACCUAUAAGACUGGGAUAACUUCGGGAAACCGGAGCUAAUACCUGAUAAUAUUUUGAACCGCAUGGUUCAAAAGUGAAAGACGGUCUUGCUGUCACUUAUAGAUGGAUCCGCGCUGCAUUAGCUAGUUGGUAAGGUAACGGCUUACCAAGGCAACGAUGCAUAGCCGACCUGAGAGGGUGAUCGGCCACACUGGAACUGAGACACGGUCCAGACUCCUACGGGAGGCAGCAGUAGGGAAUCUUCCGCAAUGGGCGAAAGCCUGACGGAGCAACGCCGCGUGAGUGAUGAAGGUCUUCGGAUCGUAAAACUCUGUUAUUAGGGAAGAACAUAUGUGUAAGUAACUGUGCACAUCUUGACGGUACCUAAUCAGAAAGCCACGGCUAACUACGUG